Megalobrama amblycephala (Wuchang bream) is the source of this 1220-nucleotide non-coding RNA. NCBI's taxonomy places the organism in Eukaryota, Metazoa, Chordata, Actinopteri, Cypriniformes, Xenocyprididae. The record is from the annotation of a RefSeq genome assembly.
UUGGGACUUAUCGAAAUAGUCAUAAAAAAGAGUCUCGUGAUCCAUUAGUGUCUGCCGGUCCGGAAUCAAUGUAAGAUUUACAAACCAAAGUUUCCGCGAAUUGAGACUUAAACACAGUUUAUGGUGGGACCUGCUCAUCCUUGAGACUGUGCAGACCCUACACCUGGCUGUUUUGAGAAUCCGUGUGACAUCGGGUCAAUAAUGAAUGACUGAAGAGUAAGUGAACAGGCCUACUAAACAAAUAUUCAAAUUAAAACACAACUAGAUUAAAAAUCCUUACACCUGCGAACCUCUAUAUAUGCAAAUGAUUCAGUAGGGAGGAUCAGAGUCACUCAGACACUCACAGGACUGUGUUAUAAACUGAAUCCUCAGUCAGUGUUUAUGUUCUGCUGCAGUGCAGAUAAAUAUCUUCUUAUUCUCUUCAUUUGACAGUUUUAUGGUGAUAAUGGAAAUGUUACUUUAUGGAGUUCUCCUGAUGAUUAUUUCAUCUGUUAGUGGUCAGUCUUUGACCUCUUCAGAUUCUGUGGUGAAAAGACCAGGAGAAUCAGUCACUCUGUCCUGCAGUGCGUCUGGAUUCUCAAUGAGCAGCUACUGGAUGGCUUGGAUCCGUCAGAAACCAGCGAGAGGACUGGAGUGGAUUGGGUUUAUAUAUGGCUCAAGUGUAUAUUAUGCUCAGUCUCUACAAGGGCAGUUUUCCAUCACCACAGACACCAGCAAAAACAUGCUGUAUUUAGAGGUGAAAAGCCUGAAGACUGAAGACACAGCUGUUUAUUACUGUGCAAGAGAGUCACGGUUACACAAUAGACUGCAGGGCUGAACAAAAACUAUUCAUGCAUGAAAUCACUGAAGCAAUUACUGCAAAUUUACCCACAAUUCAACACAUUACUUGUUUAGAAAACAUUUUAAUACUUCUGUAUAAACAACGUCCCAAAUGAAAGUAUGAAUUUCUGGGCUGGUAAUAAGGAAGGUCAAAAAGAUAAUAGAUUCAGAGUUUGGAGGAAUGAUCAUUGAGUGAGAUUCAUAACCUGAAGUGAGUGUACUGUACAUAAGCACCUGCUAAAUGAAUCUGAAAAUAAUAGGCUGUUGUUUGAUUCAGACUCAACAAUAUUCAAUCAUGCCAAAUCUGAUUAAGUGAAUUAGUACACUGCAGUGGCAAAUAUCAUCUACAAUGAGCAAGAUAUAGGGUUGUUUUUUUUUCUUCUUUUCUUUUGGUCUGACCC